CCUACGGGAGGCAGCAGUGAGGAAUAUUGGUCAAUGGCCGCAGGGCUGAACCAGCCAAGUCGCGUGAGGGAUGCCGGUCCUAUGGAUUGUAAACCUCUUUUGUCAGGGCGCAAAGGGCGCCACGUGUGGCGCUUUGCGAGUACCUGAAGAAAAAGCAUCUGCUAACUCCGUGCCAGCAGCCGCGGGAAUACGGAGGAUGCGAGCGUUAUCCGGAUUUAUUGGGUUUAAAGGGUGCGCAGGCGGAAUGUCAAGUCAGCGGUAAAAUUUCGGGGCUCAACCCCGUCGUGCCGUUGAAACUGGCGUUCUUGAGUGAGCGAGAAGUAUGCGGAAUGCGUGGUGUAGCGGUGAAAUGCAUAGAUAUCACGCAGAACUCCGAUUGCGAAGGCAGCAUACCGGCGCUCAACUGACGCUCAUGCACGAAAGCGUGGGUAUCGAACAGGAUUAGAUACCCGGGUAGUC
This 459-nucleotide ribosomal RNA is filed under the name uncultured bacterium. RNAcentral describes it as "partial 16S ribosomal RNA". It matches the Rfam family "Bacterial small subunit ribosomal RNA", at positions 338 to 795 of the family's 1533-position model. The record is from RNAcentral.